Long non-coding RNA from Malaclemys terrapin pileata, 4372 nucleotides. RefSeq lists it as uncharacterized. The record is from RefSeq and is a predicted model, not a curated record. The transcript has 8 exons. Lineage: Eukaryota; Metazoa; Chordata; Testudines; Emydidae.
AGUCUAUCUAGACAAGACAAAGUAUUAUCCCCAUUUUACAGCUGGGCACUGAGGCAUGGAGAAAUUAAAGCUCAGAUCCUCACAGGUAUUUUAAAUCAAUAAGCGUUAGGCACCUGAAUACCUUUGAAGACAUGAGCCUAAGGUCGGGUCGACACUUAACGAUUAGAUCAACCUAGCUACGUCGCACAGGGUGAUGAAAAACUUCGUACCCUCAACAACACAGGGCGACUAACCCUGGUACAGAUGCAACUAGGUUGACAGAAGAUCAACCUAGCUACCGCCUCUCAGAGAAGUGGAUUAACUACAUUGAUGGAAAAACCUCUACUGUCGAUGUAGAAAGUGUACACUGUGCUGUUGUAGCGGCUACGGUGUACGCAUGGCCUAAAUGACUUGCCCAAUGUCAAACAGGGAAGCUGUGGCAGAGUUGGUGACUAAAAGAUUUUCUGCGAGAGCAUCUUUCCUAAGAAAAAGCCAUGGUCCAAGAGGAGGUCCACGCGUUGCUGCUACUGCUGCAUCAAGGUGGUCGGUGGAUUCGUCCUGCUCAUACUGAUAGCAUCAGUCUUCACGGUGCUGUGGUAUUUUCUAGCAGCUAACUUCAGCCCAAAAUAUCCCUGGGCAGGGACGGAAUUAAAACCAGUCGAUAUUUCAUGGGCUCAUUCCAGCUGGUGAAUGAAAUCUACUAUUCCCGUCACAGCAACUCUGCUUCGGACACAUUCAAGAGGGAGGCUGCGAAGCUGGAGAACGUGCUUUGAAUGCAGAGAGAAGCACCCCACUCUUCCCACUGACAUAAAAGAGGAACAUAACAAAUGGGCGUUGCACACAUGAAUGUCAAGGAGAACCCACCAGUUACGAGCCGAGGAGCCCCCUUCCUGGACGAAGACCCCAUGGUGCUGUCCAAACACAGAGCAAAAAGACGGUCUCUGCCCCAGAGAGCUGGCAAUCUCAGUAUACGAGACAACAAAUGGAUACAGACAGAAGGGGAAGUACAAGGAAACAUUGGUCAGCCUGAUAGGCAGCGGGUUUGAAAAUUCUGACCUAUCUUACAGGGCUUUGUCGGUAAAUAAAAGGCUAAUAAGAGGCAGGAAAAGUCCAAGUCUCAACUUCGUUUCCCAAAGACACUGAUCCUUCUCACAGUGCUGCUGGGAGGAGCAUCAGCAGAAAUCCCCCGUUAUGUACCUGUUCAUAGCGUCUGAUCUGGCAAGGAUCGAAGAUCGCUGGUGCGUUUGGUAGGAGUGCCCUGAACAAGAGCUACCAGGGCUUGGCUGUGCUGGCAUUGAGGCCUGGUGUAUUUCACAAUGCUGGCUCAUCACACAACCGGAGUCUUGCCACUGUGUUGACAGUAGUGGUGGGCAGACUCCCCAAUUUUGGGAAGCUUCAUCAAUUUGGCUGCAAAUCUUCUGAGAGCCCCUGGCUCAGAAAUGCGGUAGGAGUUGUGAUCCUGAUAAGAAUCCCAGGCCUUCUACUUUGUGAGGUGCAGAAGGGCAGGAAAAUGACCCAAACAAACCCAAAGCUCAAACAAGCGUCUUCGAUCAAGUGUUCAGUCAGGUUCGUAUUUGAUCAGAACCAGUACAACAUCCUUAGUGGACACAGCCACCUUUCCUGAACACACAAUGUACGGACAUUCGUCUCCACAAAAAUUCAUCAUCCCUGAAGUCUGCAGACAUGUUCAGGUUCUGUGCCAGCUCUCUUUCUCUUGUGAUCUGCACUGACAAUGCAUACACACAGGUCAACCAGCCUCUGCCCUGUGUUGAGAUGAGUUCCUGUCUGCAUCCUGUAAAACUUGCCCAUACCGGUAUUGCCCUGGCCUCUUCUUUUGUCAUUCAGUGUUGCACGCAUUCUAAAACAAUAUGCAUUUCCUCACCUUUUGGGGGCGAAGCCAGACUUUGAGGCACCUGCUCCCCUACUUGGUGUAAACUUUGCUUGUGCCAAUCAGAAACGAACACAAACAGGUUUUGGGCCCCGUCCCCUAUGACACUUCUAUGAUGUCAUACUUGGUACUUUAUGGGCCUGCCUGCCAUGUGCAGGCAGGGAGAGGAGAAAGAAAAACGAAUCCUGUGUAUCCUGUGUACACCCGUAACCGAGCCUGAUCACCUCGAAGCCUCUCUCUCAGCUCACGUGUUUCAAACAGAGUGUCUACGUUUGCCGGUCGUUAUGCGUUGGUUUGUAUUUGUAAGUAUCAGUUAUUACUAAAUGCUGCAUCUUUGUUUAUAAAUAUUGUUAGUAGAUAUUUUAGUCAUUGUGUGUUUUAAGUUUCAUUAACUCUAUUAGCUAAUCAAAUGCUGCUCCCUUACCCUUGUAAUUAUCCCCAAUAAAACGUUAAAUUGAUUAAUUUUAGUUGUGUGUGUGUGUGUGUCUGCAGUUUGCAUCGUGACCCAUACUCUCCUUGCAUCCCUUACCAAUAUAGUCUAUUGCCACGUGCAGCCUGGUAAAUAACAGGCCUGCAUUUUCUUUCGCCCCUGCGUGCCCAUGGCAAUCCACACCCUGAAGACCUUACAUUGGCAAACAGGUUACACUAGGAAAAUUAGAGGUGGGAAUAACGUGGUGUGUAUUCCUCUCUCUCCUUUCCUACUCCCCUUCCUCUUAUCCAAUUGCAUGGAGCUGAGAUUUAGCCAUGUGGCUUAAAUGGAUUAAAAAGUAGUAACGCUGCGUCACAAAGGUCACAUCUGGACUGUCCCAGAGUUUGGGCCAGGGCUUUGAUUUGGCUGAUUAUUGACAAAAGGGCCCGCUGUGAAGGCUGGAGCCUGAUCUAUUACCUCAGAACACCGCCGUAACUAAAAAACAAGGAAAUCCCAGAGCAGCUGUCUCACCCAGCACUAUCCCAGACCCAGAGCGUCUGCCCACGACCAUCAACACACUUAGCAAAUCCUAACAAAUUCACUGUCGCUCUCAGCGCCCUCAGCGCACACCGCAAAGAAAUGACAAGCCAAACUACAGUAUUUCACUUCCUAGGACUGAUUACAUUUCCUAGCUUGAUUAUGAUUAAAAGUACUGUACUAAUAAAUAAAAAAUGACCACAUGAAUUAACUCAUAUUAGUGAUGCCUUAGAUUUUGCUACAGGGUAAAACUUUCAGAGGCGUCUAAAUGCCAUAGGAGAUUUUCACUAAGACUUAGACUCCUAUGUUCAAAGUGACAGACACCAGGAGCCAGAUUUUUAAAGGUAUUUAGGCACCUAAAGAUGGAGCUAGGCACCUAGCAAGGUGUUCAAAAGCACUAGGCGCCGAACCCCAAUUGAUUUCAAGCCCAGGUGCUUAGGCACUUUUGAAAAUUCUAUUAGGUGCCUAUUUGACAAAGGUAUUUAGGCACCCAACAUUGCAAUCUGGCCCUAAGAAGUCAAAGUCUCAGUAAAAUUCAGUGGGACAUAACAGCCCCUAAGUGACUUUGGCCACUCACACUGUAGGAGUAUAUUUUGAGGCAUUUAUCUGCCAGAGGGAUCAGAAUAGAAGGCCAGAGCCAUACAGUACAUUACAGGAGCAGGUGAUGAAAGGGAUAAAAAUCACCAUAACCUCCCCGUACACCAUGUCCCCUCCUCCCCCUUUAUUGGCCUGGCUCAUUCAAACCGGCUCAGAGAGAUCCUGUGGGUGCCGUUGUCUGUCACUAUCUGUCCGGUGCUCUGACGGGCCUGGCUCGGAGAAGUGCCGAGUGCAGCCGGCGUUGUGAGCGCUCAGCAUCCCGGCGGCCCGUUUCGCAGUUCGCAUUUCAUGCUGCUGUCGGGGGAAUGUCUGGAUCGUCUCAACCAAGUUCUGAGACCAGAACAUCCAGAACCUUCCAGAUCGAUUUCCCCUGAUGUUUGGGAUGCAGCGUGCCAGGGGUCGCACAGACUGGUCUGCCAGGUACCACAGGCUGCCUCUCUAGCGAUCUUCCUGCCUCUGAUGCAUUCAGGGUGGAUUAUGGGUAACGAGGACAUCUGUUCCCAAAGGGGAGUGGGUUAGGAGCUGGGCAGAGGCCAUUUCCCUGCCGCUACCACCUCUGCUUCUGUUGCAGCCCAAGUCCCUUCACGGAGCACUUCAGGCUGCAGUCAGUGGCACUGAAACAUCAGCGAGGCUCAACAAUGCUGCGGUGGCGCACGAAUUGGCACAAGAGUACCAGGGCGCAGGGGACAAAGUCGAAAUGUCCGUGGACGUUGGCAGCUUGCUGGUGAGAGAUUAUGGCACUUGCUCCUCGGUGCCUGGAGGUGACACCGAUGCACCGUGGCCAUGGCAAGCCGCAGAGCGGAAGAACGGAGACCCAGCAUGUGCCGGAAGCCUGAUCUCAGAGGGCUGGGUGUUGUGCAUGGCAAGUUGUGUCACAACCAGAUGGCAGCUGGAGGAGCCUGUGUGUGCCCAGGAAAGAGAGCUGCUUUUCAUUGAAAGAAUCAUUCCAUCCACGAUAAAAC